GCUGGGCGUGGUGGCGGACACCUGUAAUCCCAGCUAUUUGGGAGGCUGAGGCAGGAGAAUCGCUUGAACCCAGGAGGCAGAGGUUGCAGUGAGCUGAAAUCGCACCACUGCACUCCAGCCUGGGUGACAGAGUGAGACUCUGUCUCAA
Macaca fascicularis (crab-eating macaque) is the source of this 148-nucleotide unclassified non-coding RNA. It matches the Rfam family "Metazoan signal recognition particle RNA". From Rfam's summary of the family: The signal recognition particle (SRP) is a universally conserved ribonucleoprotein. It is involved in the co-translational targeting of proteins to membranes. NCBI's taxonomy places the organism in Eukaryota, Metazoa, Chordata, Mammalia, Primates, Cercopithecidae. The record is from Ensembl.